CGAACCUGCCUCAUACAGAGGGAUAAUCAUGUGAAAACGUGACUAAUACCGCAUGUCAUUACUGGAGGGCAUCCUCCGGUAAGAAAAGGAGCAAUCCGGUAUGAGAUGGGCCCGCAUCUGAUUAGCUAGUUGGUGAGAUAACAGCCCACCAAGGCGACGAUCAGUAGCCGACCUGAGAGGGUGAUCGGCCACAUUGGGACUGAGACACGGCCAA
RNAcentral lists this ribosomal RNA (214 nucleotides) under uncultured bacterium. RNAcentral describes it as "partial 16S ribosomal RNA". It matches the Rfam family "Bacterial small subunit ribosomal RNA", at positions 122 to 333 of the family's 1533-position model. The record is from RNAcentral.